Molecule: long non-coding RNA, 491 nt
Organism: Hydra vulgaris (swiftwater hydra)
Lineage: Eukaryota; Metazoa; Cnidaria; Hydrozoa; Anthoathecata; Hydridae
Source: RefSeq, a predicted model, not a curated record
CAGGUUUGACUGGCAAUAUAAAUUUUUAAUUUUACUUAUUUAGCCAUUCAUUAAGUAGUCCUGUGCUUUAUAAUAUAUAUAAAGAUGGUAAGGACGUGAAGAAAACAGGUUUGUAAAUGAUGUUGUACAUCAUGCAGAUAGCUCAGAAGAAGAAGCAGGAAUGUUUGACUGGAAAUAUAAACGAUGUUGUACAUAAUGCAGAUAGUAUAGGCGAAUAAGAGAAAUAGAAGUUAUCAAAUGUUGGUGGCUCAUCAUGCAGUGCAUUUGAGAAGGACAUGCUUUUAAAGGUUAAGACUGCUUCCCUGAUUCCUACAGCAAAAAAAAAACUUUAAAAUGCUGGUUGCAUUAUUUUAAAGAGUGUAUCUGAUCGAAAAGAAGGUGACUGAUGUCAACUGUACGCACAUUCGAUUCUUGGAAAUUAACUAGUAGAAAAAGAAGUUUAUAAAGUUGUAAUUUAUAAAACUCUGCACAUUUAUAUUAUUAAAAGUUUU